AUUGAACGCUGGCGGCAGGCUUAACACAUGCAAGUCGAGCGGGGUGAUGGUGCUUGCACUAUCACUUAGCGGCGGACGGGUGAGUAAUGCUUAGGAAUCUGCCUAUUAGUGGGGGACAACAUCUCGAAAGGGAUGCUAAUACCGCAUACGUCCUACGGGAGAAAGCAGGGGAUCACUUGUGACCUUGCGCUAAUAGAUGAGCCUAAGUCGGAUUAGCUAGUUGGUGGGGUAAAGGCCUACCAAGGCGACGAUCUGUAGAGGGUCGGAGAGGAUGAUCCGCCACACUGGGGCUGGGACACGGCCCAGACUCCUGCGGGAGGCAGCAGUGGGGAAUAUUAGACAAUGGGGUGAACCCUGAUCCAGCCAUGCCGCGUGUGUGAAGAAGGCCUUAUGGUUGUAAAGCACUUUAAGCGAGGAGGAGGCUCUUUUGGUUAAUACCCAAGAUGAGUGGACGUUACUCGCAGAAUAAGCACCGGCUAACUCUGUGCCAGCCGCCGCCGUAA
Molecule: ribosomal RNA, 503 nt
Filed under: uncultured bacterium
Lineage: Bacteria
Description: partial 16S ribosomal RNA
Rfam family: Bacterial small subunit ribosomal RNA
Source: RNAcentral